Molecule: ribosomal RNA, 449 nt
Filed under: uncultured bacterium
Lineage: Bacteria
Description: bacterial SSU rRNA
Rfam family: Bacterial small subunit ribosomal RNA
Source: RNAcentral
GUGGGGAAUAUUGGACAAUGGGCGCAAGCCUGAUCCAGCAAUACCGCGUGUGUGAAGAAGGCCUGAGGGUUGUAAAGCACUUUUAAUCGGGAGGAACACCUGUAGGCGAAUACCCUGCAGUAUGACAUUACCGAUAGAAAAAGCACCGGCUAACUCCGUGCCAGCAGCCGCGGUAAUACGGAGGGUGCAAGCGUUAAUCGGAAUUACUGGGCGUAAAGCGUGCGUAGGCGGUUCGCUAAGUCAGAUGUGAAAGCCCCGGGCUUAACCUGGGAACGGCAUUUGAUACUGGUUGACUAGAGUUGAGUAGAGGAGAGUGGAAUUUCAGGUGUAGCGGUGAAAUGCGUAGAGAUCUGAAGGAACACCAGUGGCGAAGGCGACUCUCUGGACUCAAACUGACGCUGAGGUACGAAAGCGUGGGUAGCAAACAGGAUUAGAAACCCCUGUAGUCC